UUGCUGAUUUGUCUGACAUCCCUGUCUACACACUUUUAUCCGCCCACGCUUGAGACGUCCUCCUCAGCGCGCAGGCUUCACGGUACCAACCGUGCGGUAUCAUCGCUACAUGAUGAGUGCACUGCCCCAACCAUUGAAGCAUCACAAGGUGCUUGCCUGCCGCCGCCGCCGCUGAUACGUACACGAUUGCUGCCACACAACCAACACAUCACACCCAACAAUCACAACAACAAAACAACUGAGACCCGCCGCCGCGCAACGCACACUGCUGUACACGCCCCAGGGCCGAGAACACAACGCAACACAAGCACCUGACAUGCCUCAUCCAGGCAUGCGUCACUCAAUCGCCCACCGAGCCGACCUCGCACACGCCGUUCGUGAGCCCCUGCGGCUGACAUGCCCGGCCCUGCCCCCUUGGCACCGCAGCCCUGCCGCCUUGGCACCGCCGCCCAUUGCCCCACCCCCAUGCUGCGUGCCAUGUAAGAAUAAAGCCAGGUCCCCAUCAAGCCGCAGCAUAUAUCCCCGCCAAGCCACCACACUCCUCUUGCCGCACGCUACCAACCACCACCAGCACAGGACCGGCACCUGCCUGUCCCCCUGUUUAGUUUGGGCUGAUAUUUACAACCCCCCACCCUCCCCUCCCCACCUUCCCCAUUGCCAACCUCGCCCACCGCGCCGACAUACACGCCGGCACCUCGCUCGUGCCUCUCGAGGCCUCCCAUCUUCCGUAGCUAGAGAUCCCCAUCCACUAGCAUCCACUUGGGCUCCAGCCCACUCCUGAUGCACACGCCAGCAUUAUCCAGGUCUGCAUGGUUUGCAUGUCUGCCUACCGUGCACGCACACCUGCCUAGCUACGCCGACCUACUACCGUCCUCCUCGACCCGACCCGCCGCCGCCGCCGCCUCCCUCUGGCCGCCGUGCCGGCCGCACCAGCAGCUGCUGUUGUGGGUUGCCGCCAGAGCCGCCGCCGCCCUUGCUGGUAGUGGUGGUGGUUGCGGGCUGCUGCGGCGCGGCCGUAAUGACAGCCGCAGCGCCGCCCACGGCACCCACUGCCACUGUUUCCACCGCCACCGCCGGCUGCUGCAGCCGGCGCAGCAGGUAGGCCUCCUGCUCCUCCGGGCUCUUCAGGCCCGCCCACUCCCAGUACGGCAGCACAAGAACGCCGCCGCCCUCCCCGAACGCCCGCCGCAGCUGCCGAAUGCGCAUGGCCGUACCACCGUCAACAGCGGUGGGGUCGCGCUUUAGAUUGGACAGAAAGCGUGCCGGUCCGAGGAGCUCCACCGCCGCCUGCUGCCCGUCACUCAGCCGCACCACCGCAUCCACUGGCGCCAACGCGCCUUGCGCGACCACGCCCGUUUGUACGGACACGACGGCAAGGCCUCCUGCUGCCUCACGCCCCUGGUGCUGCUCAAGCCGCCGCAGCGCUGCGACGACCUGCUUUUGGAUGUCAGAUGUGGGCUUGGCGUUUUCCCUCUCAGCAGUCACCGCCGCUGCCAUCGCCGCCUGCAGGCCGGGGCUGCUCCCCAGGGCCGCCGCAACCUCGCCGCCUAGCUCUUGCUGCGCCUGCCACAGCUGAUUGAGAUUCUCAGUUGUAAAACCCUCCCAACGGCUUACUGCUUCACGGGCUAGCUGAAUGGAUAGCUGCUGCAUGUCGGGAGAAUACGUGCCUCCAAUCACCGCCAUGGCCCACAGGCUGUUUGAUAUGUUUUGGUUGUUUACCGCCUGCCUGUCGCGCUGCAGCAGCUCGCCCAGCCGGCCGCACACCGCCGCCUCCAAGCCAGCGUGCCGCAGCUGCAGCACCGCCAGCGCCCAGAGCGUGUUUGCACAGUUCUGACCACCGGCACUACUGGCGCGCAUGGCUGCUGCUGCUGCACCCGCAUCCAGCAGCUCCGGCGGCGGCUGGUGGCGCAUCAACGCAAGCGCGUACAGCAGGUUGGCCCAGGCCUGAGGCGUCGCACGGGCCAUGACGCCCGGCCGCAUUGCUGCGACCACCGCUGCCGAAGCCCACUGCCGCUGCUCUGCCGGCGCCUCCGGGCCCACCCCAAAUCCGAUCUUGGCCAGGGCCCACGCUGAGUUGCUGAGGUCCUGAGCCACGUACCCGGCAAAUCCCCGACGCACGUCCUCUGCGGCCACUGCCACCACCAGCUCUGCCUGCUCGCCGCCCAGCUGCAGCCCCUCCAGCGCCAGCAGGAUGUUGGACAGAUGCUGCGGCUUGAACGCUUCAGCAUCCUUCGGUGCUCGGAGCUGCCGCAGCGCCUCCCCGCACAGCGCCUCAACUGCUGAUCGGUACUCUGGUCCCAUGCAACCCAAAGCCGCAAACGCCCAGAGGGUAUUGGACAGAUGUUGCGUCUCCAUGCUGAGACUGAGCGCCGCUGCCGCCUCUGCCAGCGGCAGCAGGAGUUCCGGUUCCGGGUAACCCAGCUUGGCGCACGCCCAGAGAAUGUUGGACACGUCCUGUGCUGUGAAGCCGUGACCAACCGCCACUCCCAACCGGGAGGCCACAGCUGCCGCCAAGGUCUGCAAGUGCGGAGAUGAGGUGGGGUCCCAGCCUGAGCCCCGCUGCUCCUGGUCUUGCUUGAUCUUGCCGAGUGCGUACAUGACGUUUGUAAGACUUUGAGGUUUUGCAGUUCCAAGAACCUCUGAAUCCAACAGCCGCUCCAGCAGCGCUGCUAUGAGCUGAGCCUCCAUGGCCGAGCCGCCGCUGAUCCCUGCUUUCCCCAGCGCCCACAGCACGAUGCUGCAAUCAACCGCCUUGCGGAUGCGCGGCACGAGCGGCAGGUAGGCCGGCGCAAGCAUGCCGAUAAUGCUGCUGCGUGCUACAGCCGUUUGGCUUGCUCCAGCGCGCGACUCCAGCUGCGUUCAAAACAGUUAUGAGGGACAUACAUGGGGUCAAGUGCUAUAUGCAUGUGUUUGUGCGUGUGCGUGAACAGGUGCGCAUGCAAGUCCUGUGUGGCCAUCUGCGUCGUGAGAACCGGAAGUCCGGGCCGAGAAUGACAACAAUUGGACUCGCCCUCAAUUCUGCACUUUAUUUCUCUGCCCAUUCCCACCUGCACGUUUUAGUCCUCCCUCUCACCUUGCCGCACAGGUUGAACGCCGCACACAUGGUAAUGAAGUCUUUUCGGCCCUCCCACACUGAUAGCCGCUGGCUGAUGAUAGCUUGCAGGUCCUCCAGAGUCCGACACACGGUCAUGUCAUCCGCGGGGUCACGCCCGCUGCCCCUGCUUCUGCCGCUGGCGCGGCUGCCAUCGCCUGCCCUGCCUCCGCCGCUUCCCCUACCCGCCGCCGCCUGCACUAUUGGCCGCCCGAGGCGGGAGCUACUGCUGCCGCAGAGCACUACCGCCGUCGAGACGCGCAGUGGGGAUGAGCUGCUACUGUUGAGUGCUGGGACAGAAGUAGCGGCGGCAGCGCGCGGUGAGCUGGGGCCGGUGUCGGCAGCGGUCCGAUGCAUGCCAUAAACGAACAGUCUUCUAAACGCGCACGCCGGUGGCGGUGCCUGGAGACGGGCUGAUAACGAAUGGCUACAGCCAUGUACGCUGUGCCUGUGCGCACCAGCGGGAGAGCCCGCGACGACGCGCAGGGCGAGCAUCUCGGGCCUCCUCACGGCGGCGACCUGAGCUAUAGCGACUCUAUCCGUCUACGUGUCUGAGCACUGCAAAUGCAUUAGGCUUGCAUUUGUGGGAGAAUAACGCAAGGAACGAAAGGUCAGGUGCGUGUAGGUCGCUGGGCCAAAGCCGCCUGAGUAGCUGUGGCUUGGUAUGGAUGAUAAAGCAACUGAAUCAAUUUGCCACCGGUGUUGAGGCGAGGGCGACCUGACCGCGAAAUACACGGCCCGAGGGCACGCCCCGUAUCAACACCCCUCGCGACCUCCAAACACGUGCACUGAACCGCGAAGCCCUCCCCCAAGCCUAUCGCGGCUGCUAUUCCCAUGUCCUCCUCCCCAACCAUUCUGCAUACAGGCUCUGGCGUGAGUCCCUGCCCGCGUCAUUUGACACCCGUCGACCACGACUGAGGUGCAACGCAUGUCGCUUACAAUUCCAACAUCCCGCCCGACACGAGAGGGGCAGAAACGGCGGGGCAGACGGCCAGCCUCUUGAACAUGAGCAUAGCAGUGCCAUAGCGCACAUUGGGUCCCCGCCUGCUUCACCUGGCCACCUUUGCUGAUUUGUCUGACAUCCCUGUCUACACACUUUUAUCCGCCCACGCUUGAGACGUCCUCCUCAGCGCGCAGGCUUCACGGUACCAACCGUGCGGUAUCAUCGCUACAUGAUGAGUGCACUGCCCCAACCAUUGAAGCAUCACAAGGUGCUUGCCUGCCGCCGCCGCCGCUGAUACGUACACGAUUGCUGCCACACAACCAACACAUCACACCCAACAAUCACAACAACAAAACAACUGAGACCCGCCGCCGCGCAACGCACACUGCUGUACACGCCCCAGGGCCGAGAACACAAC
This 4452-nucleotide long non-coding RNA is filed under the name Chlamydomonas reinhardtii. RNAcentral describes it as "long non-coding RNA (CREI_LNC001184)". Lineage: Eukaryota; Viridiplantae; Chlorophyta; Chlorophyceae; Chlamydomonadales; Chlamydomonadaceae. The record is from RNAcentral.